AGGACGAACGCUGGCGGCGUGCUUAACACAUGCAAGUCGAGCGGAAAGGCCCUUCGGGGUACUCGAGCGGCGAACGGGUGAGUAACACGUGAGUAAUCUGCCCCUAGCUCUGGGAUAGCUCCGGGAAAACCGGGAUUAAUACCAGAUACGACCACUUUAGACAUCUGUUGUGGUGGAAAGAAUUUCGGCUAGGGAUGAGCUCGCGGCCUAUCAGCUUGUUGGUGAGGUAACGGCUCACCAAGGCGACGACGGGUAGCCGGCCUGAGAGGGCGACCGGCCACACUGGGACUGAGACACGGCCCAGACUCCUACGGGAGGCAGCAGUGGGGAAUAUUGCGCAAUGGGCGAAAGCCUGACGCAGCGACGCCGCGUGGGGGAUGAAGGCCUUCGGGUUGUAACCCUUUCAGCAGGACGAAGCGAAGUGACGGUACCUGCAGAAGAAGCGCCGGCUAACUACGUGCCAGCAGCCGC
RNAcentral lists this ribosomal RNA (471 nucleotides) under uncultured bacterium. RNAcentral's name for it is "SSU rRNA". It matches the Rfam family "Bacterial small subunit ribosomal RNA", at positions 26 to 518 of the family's 1533-position model. The record is from RNAcentral.